Molecule: long non-coding RNA, 332 nt
Organism: Pseudophryne corroboree (corroboree frog)
Lineage: Eukaryota; Metazoa; Chordata; Amphibia; Anura; Myobatrachidae
Exons: 3
Source: RefSeq, a predicted model, not a curated record
CUGCCUGGGAAGGCUGCAGGAUCUGUGUGUGAGAGACACGCUUUCUGAUGCAAUGAUGGAGUCCUUGUCACAUUUGGUGCCCAAACAGGGACCACAUUGCUGGAUGCUACUACGCAGAAAAGGACCUGGCACUAAAUUAAGUUUGAGAUUCACUAUCAGCAGCCAGUUAAGUCCCUGUCCAAUUCCAAAGACGGGCUAAUAGCUGAGGUCCGAACAGCAGGAACAAGAAUGCUUCUCCGAUCUGGCCCUUUUCCGUAUUUACCAGAUAUACCAGCAAAGUCCAAGGAAUGCGACACUGAUGACCAUUAAAUAUAUUUUAUUAUACUGGAAAA